RNAcentral lists this ribosomal RNA (511 nucleotides) under uncultured bacterium. Its description in RNAcentral is "bacterial SSU rRNA". It matches the Rfam family "Bacterial small subunit ribosomal RNA", at positions 28 to 514 of the family's 1533-position model. The record is from RNAcentral.
GAUGAACGCUGGCGGCGUGCCUAACACAUGCAAGUCGAACGAACCUUGGGGAACAGAUUACUUCGGUUUGAAGUUCCCCGCUGGUUAGUGGCGGACGGGUGAGUAACGCGUGGGUAACCUGCCGUAUGCAGGGGGAUAACAGUUAGAAAUGACUGCUAAUACCGCAUAAGCGCACAGUAUCGCAUGAUACAGUGUGAAAAACGAUAGUGGCAUACGAUGGACCCGCGUCUGAUUAGCUAGUUGGCGGGGUAACGGCCCACCAAGGCGACGAUCAGUAGGGGUUCUGAGAGGAAGGUCCCCACAUUGGAACUGAGACACGGUCCAAAACUCCUACGGGAGGCAGCAGUGAGGAAUAUUGGUCAAUGGGGCGAGAGCCUGAACCAGCCAAGUAGCGUGCAGGAUGACGGCCCUAUGGGUUGUAAAACUGCUUUUUAUAAGGGAAUAAAAGUGGGUCACGUGUGACUUUUUGCAUGACCUUAUGAAUAAGGACCGGCUAAUUCCGUGCCAGCAG